AUUGAACGCUGGCGGCAGGCCUAACACAUGCAAGUCGCACGAGUGGCGGACGGGUGAGUAAUGUCUGGGAAACUGCCUGAUGGAGGGGGAUAACUACUGGAAACGGUAGCUAAUACCGCAUACCCACGGAUGUGCCCAGAUGGGAGUAGGUGGUAGGUGGGGUAAAGGGUCACCUAGGCGACGAACCCUAGCUGGUCUGAGAGGAUGACCAGCCACACUGGAACUGCGACACGGUCCAGACUCCUACGGGCGGCAGCAGUGGGUAAUAUUGCACAAGGGGCGCAAGCCUGAUUCAGCCAUGCCGCGUGUAUGAAUAAGGCCUACGGGUUGUAAAGUACUUUCAGCGGGGAGGCGUUACCCGCAGAAGAAGCACCGGCUAACUCCGUGCCAGCAGCCGCGGUAAUAC
This 406-nucleotide ribosomal RNA is filed under the name uncultured bacterium. RNAcentral describes it as "partial 16S ribosomal RNA". It matches the Rfam family "Bacterial small subunit ribosomal RNA", at positions 30 to 526 of the family's 1533-position model. The record is from RNAcentral.